GAGGCUAUAGCUCAGUGGUACAGUGCAUGCCUAGGAUAUACAAGGUCCUGGGUUCAAUCCCCAGUACCUCCA
This 72-nucleotide transfer RNA is filed under the name Camelus bactrianus (Bactrian camel). It matches the Rfam family "tRNA". Rfam says of the family: Transfer RNA (tRNA) molecules are approximately 80 nucleotides in length. Their secondary structure includes four short double-helical elements and three loops (D, anti-codon, and T loops). Lineage: Eukaryota; Metazoa; Chordata; Mammalia; Artiodactyla; Camelidae. RNAcentral also lists the same sequence under 1 other name. The record is from Rfam by way of RNAcentral.